AGAGUUUGAUCCUGGCUCAGAAUGAACGCUGGCGGCGCGCUUAACACAUGCAAGUCGAGCGAGAAAGCUUCUUCGGAAGUGAGUACAGCGGCGGACGGUUGAGUAACACGUGGGAAUUUCCCCUUCAGUGAAGAAUACUCUUGAGAAAUCGAGAUUAAUACUGCAUACGUCUCUUACGAGAGAAAGGUGGCCUCUUUGCU
Molecule: ribosomal RNA, 200 nt
Filed under: uncultured bacterium
Lineage: Bacteria
Description: partial 16S ribosomal RNA
Rfam family: Bacterial small subunit ribosomal RNA
Source: RNAcentral